UUGAAGUGAAAAAAAUACUAAAGCCACUGCUCUCGGCGUUCGCCGCCGUUCGGUUGUUGUGGGGCGGUGAGGCCUUGGACAGAGAGGUUCAGAGCUUAUUGCUGUUGUGCGUCGUGAUCGGUUGAGUCAACAGCGACUGCUUGCCCAAUUUGUCUUACAUCGUUGCCGAUCCAUGGCUCGUGGAGGGUAGCUUGACUGACGCCCAGGGUCGUGGUAAGAUUUCUAUCUCGAAGUUUGCUUUGCCCUCCGGUUCAGGUAGUGAUGGUCGGAUCGAAGUUCUUGCGCUGGGUCGCCGGAUCUCUGCGUACCGGUGAUCUGCGCCGCCUUGGAGCUCUUUGCUCUGAGCCGCAUGGGUGUUUGGAGGAAGGAGAUGGAUCCAGGGCCGCUAAUCUGGUGAUGGACGGAUAAGAAUAGAAGUGGCAGUAGCCGUUUCAUCUCGAUCGGUGAUUCUGGGGCCGUGGCCGCUGGAUCCGUAACAGACGACUGGGAUCGCUCUUGGCAUACCGGUUCGGUCGGGGUGGCUUUGUGGCCAUCGAUCGGUGGAUGGAGGGGUGAUAUUAGAGUUCGCUUCAAUUUAAUCUGCGCCACUGAUCUUCUGAUUCGACGGCCGGUAGUGAGUGCAGGAUCUAUAAGAAGAGCGAUCUAAUCUGGGCACUUGAAAGAUAAUCCGAUGGCCCAAAUCACACCGUACCCCUUCGCCAGGGCUAUCUUUCAAAUGAGACCCCGUAAAACCCUAUAAUUUAUCCGCCGUCCUCGCGGAUGUAGUCUGAGCCUGGUAGAUUUUAUAGAAUAAACCCCUACCUUCUCUGUAUUAAUGUGCCCAGUCUAGAAGCCUGAGGAAAUUCAGAAAUUAUUUUAGAAAAUGAUUUUUAAUACAAAAACAAUACUAGAAACUUGUGAAAUUCAUAUUUAAUUCAUUUUAGCUUCAAAUUGAUUUAUUCCAGUUGCAAUAAUUUUGUUUUAAUAUUAUCUAUCACCUAGUAACUCUGUUUAGUCAUGAAAUCUAGAUCAAAAUUAUCCACUUGAUUUAUGUUAUACUAGGUAUUUAAUAACUUCAGAAAUUCAUAACUUAAUAAUCGUAACUCCGAAUUUAGUGGUUCUUGUCUCUACGAUCUCGUUAUGCAGCGAAGAAUAUUAUUAUGCAGUUUGUUCUUAUGUUUGGUGUGAUUUUAAUUUUGCUCAUACCAUGUUUGUUUGUAUUGCUAUGACUAGCAGCGAGGUUACGUGUCACCUGAAGAGCAAGUUGGUACCUGGAAUCUCAAGUCCCAGGCAAGUUGUGCCCUUGAUCACUUCUUUUUACCCAUUCAUGUUCUGAUUAAUCAUAAUGAUCUGCAUAGGUUAAUUUUGAUGGGACCCAACAAGUUACCCUAGUUUGAUUAUCUUUAUACCUUGACUCCACUAAACUUUUUGGGUAGUACCUGCUAUUGCUUUAUGUGGU
RNAcentral lists this long non-coding RNA (1438 nucleotides) under Zea mays. RNAcentral's name for it is "long non-coding RNA (ZMAY_LNC001064)". Lineage: Eukaryota; Viridiplantae; Streptophyta; Magnoliopsida; Poales; Poaceae. The record is from RNAcentral.